AAGCUCGUAGUUGAAUUUCGGGAUCAGUAUGUUGGUCGUGCUUCGGUACGUACUGUCAUUACUGGUUUCUCCCUUCUGAAGAACCUUGAUGUCAUUAAUUUGGUGUCUUGGGGAAUCAGGACUGUUACUUUGAAAAAAUUAGAGUGUUUAAAGCAGGCAUACGCUUGAAUACAUUAGCAUGGAAUAAUGAAAUAGGACGUUUGAUUCUAUUUUGUUGGUUUCUAGGAUCGACGUAAUGAUUAAUAGGGAUAGUUGGG
This 257-nucleotide ribosomal RNA is filed under the name uncultured Glomus. RNAcentral's name for it is "partial 18S ribosomal RNA". It matches the Rfam family "Eukaryotic small subunit ribosomal RNA", at positions 624 to 886 of the family's 1831-position model. The record is from RNAcentral. Lineage: Eukaryota; Fungi; Glomeromycota; Glomeromycetes; Glomerales; Glomeraceae.